UUUCCGUAGGUGAACCUGCGGAAGGAUCAUACAGAGUUCAUGCCCUCACGGGUAGAUCUCCCACCCUUGAAUAUUUAUACCUUAGUUGCUUUGGCAGGCCGUGGAAACACCAUGGGCUCCGGCUUAUGCGUGCCUGCCAGAGGAAACAAACUCUGUUUUUGGUGAUGUCUGAGUACUAUAUAAUAGUUAAAACUUUCAACAACGGAUCUCUUGGUUCUG
RNAcentral lists this unclassified non-coding RNA (219 nucleotides) under plant metagenome. RNAcentral describes it as "partial contains small subunit ribosomal RNA, internal transcribed spacer 1, and 5.8S ribosomal RNA". The record is from RNAcentral.